RNAcentral lists this unclassified non-coding RNA (239 nucleotides) under soil metagenome. Its description in RNAcentral is "partial internal transcribed spacer 1". The record is from RNAcentral.
CCAAUGAUUGGGAACCAGUUGAGGUUGAUAGAUCUCCUGGUUGCUAAAAUCAAAUACCCAUCUUUGUGCACCUUUUUUAUGUCUCUGGUGGUCGCAAGAGAAGUCUCUUAUUUAGAGGAUCUCUUCUAGUUCAUUUUGAUCCUCGGACAAAUGAAUGAAGCCACCAAAUGGUUGCUAUAACACACUUUUUUGCCGUCCAAAAUAUCUGUCUAACAUUGAUUUGUGUAAAAUACAUAAAA